Molecule: ribosomal RNA, 622 nt
Filed under: uncultured bacterium
Lineage: Bacteria
Description: bacterial SSU rRNA
Rfam family: Bacterial small subunit ribosomal RNA
Source: RNAcentral
CAAAGGAGCAAUCCGCUGAAAGAUGGGCUCAUGUCUGAUUAGAUAGUUGGUGAGGUAACGGCUCACCAAGUCGACGAUCAGUAGCCGGACUGAGAGGUUGAACGGCCACAUUGGAACUGAGAGACGGUCCAGACUCCUACGGGAGGCAGCAGUGGGGAAUAUUGGGCAAUGGGCGCAAGCCUGACCCAGCAACGCCGCGUGAAGGAAGAAGGUCUUCGGAUUGUAAACUUUUGUCUUAUGGGACGAUAAUGACGGUACCAUAGGAGGAAGUCACGACUAACUACGUGCCAGCAGUCGCGGUAAUACGUAGGUGGCAAGCGUUAUCCGGAAUUAUUGGGUGUAAAGGGUGCGUAGGCGGGAUGUAAAGUCAGAUGUGAAAUGCCGCAGCUUAACUGCGGAGCUGCAUUUGAAACUUAUGUUCUUGAGUGAAGUAGAGGCAAGCGGAAUUCCUAGUGUAGCGGUGGAAUGCGUAGAUAUUAGGAGGAACACCGGUGGCGAAGGCGGCUUGCUGGGCUUUUACUGACGCUGAGGCACGAAAGUGUGGGGAGCAAACAGGAUUAGAUACCCUGGUAGUCCACACCGUAAACGAUGAUUACUAGGUGUAGGUCGGCUGAACCGAUCU